GAUGAACGCUGGCGGCGUGCCUAAUACAUGCAAGUCGAGCGAACAGACGAGAGUGCUUGCACUCUCUGACGUUAGCGGCGGACGGGUGAGUAACACGUGGGUAACCUACCUAUAAGACUGGGAUAACUUCGGGAAACCGGAGCUAAUACCGGAUAAUAUUUAGCUUCGCAUGAAGCAAUAGUGAAAGACGGUUCUGCUGUCACUUAUAGAUGGACCCGCGGUGUAUUAGCUAGUUGGUUAGGUAACGGCUCACCAAGGCAACGAUACAUAGCCGACCUGAGAGGCUGAUCGGCCACACUGGGACUGAGACACGGCCCAGACUCCUACGGGAGGCAGCAGUAGGGAAUCUUCCGCAAUGGACGAAAGUCUGACGGAGCAAUGCCGCGUGAGUGAAGAAGGUUUUCGGAUCGUAAAACUCUGUUGUAAGGGAAGAACAAGUACGUUAGUAACUGAACGUACCUUGACGGUACCUUACCAGAAAGCCACGGCUAACUACGUG
Molecule: ribosomal RNA, 499 nt
Filed under: uncultured bacterium
Lineage: Bacteria
Description: partial 16S ribosomal RNA
Rfam family: Bacterial small subunit ribosomal RNA
Source: RNAcentral